Neomonachus schauinslandi (Hawaiian monk seal) is the source of this 658-nucleotide long non-coding RNA. RefSeq lists it as uncharacterized. The record is from RefSeq and is a predicted model, not a curated record. The transcript has 3 exons. Lineage: Eukaryota; Metazoa; Chordata; Mammalia; Carnivora; Phocidae.
UCGGAAGUCGUUAGAUGCUGCCGAGAGUGAGCAGGUCUGGCGGGUGGGGAGGGCUCUUCUGAGCGCCAGACCCGGCGACGCGGGUGAUGUCCCAUCGCCGGCGGCCAGGGUGGUCCCCAGCGGCGCAGCCUGCGGCAGCUAAGCACAGCCCCCGACACUUGGCUGGUGAUUUUGUGUCUUUACUACAAGCCAAGGCUGUAUUUGCAAUUAGGGAAACUGAGGCCCGACGGGGAAGGACCUUGGCCGGAGUCGCACCGAGGGAAGGGUGCGAUCGGAAGCCGCCGUCGGCCGUGCUUCCCGGCCUCCGUGUGCUUCCCGGGAGCUGUCGCUCGGAGGCCUGGCUCCUGGAGCCAACGCGGAGGGCCCGGUUCCGCUAGUGGAUGGAACCCCGGGGCGGGCGGGGCCUCGCCUGCCGCCGUCACUGCCUCUGGAGCCCCAGCGUCGGAUGCAGGCCCGGAGGUGAGCCCCGGAGACACAGGUCAGGCGUAGGCACGAUUCACGGCGGCUCCGCGAGGCGAGCCCUCUUGCUUCUCCCUCCGGCAAGUGGAUACCACCAAGAGAUAAGAAGAUAUGCCACAGGAUAGAAAAUAAGUGUCCCUGGGGCGCCCGGGUGGCUCAGUCGUUAAGCGUCUGCCUUCAGCUCAGGUCGUGAUCCCGG